RNAcentral lists this transfer RNA (72 nucleotides) under Toxocara canis (dog roundworm). It matches the Rfam family "tRNA". From Rfam's summary of the family: Transfer RNA (tRNA) molecules are approximately 80 nucleotides in length. Their secondary structure includes four short double-helical elements and three loops (D, anti-codon, and T loops). Lineage: Eukaryota; Metazoa; Nematoda; Chromadorea; Rhabditida; Toxocaridae. The record is from Rfam by way of RNAcentral.
GGGGCGGUAGCUCAGUGGUAGAGCUUCCGUUUCGUAUGCGGAAAGACCUGUGUUUGAUUCCCGGCUGCUUAC